AGUAUGGGGAAUGUUGUCUAGGCUCGAGAUGGCCACUUCAAAACUUUGAGUUAUAUGAUAGGUUUUUCGGACCAGGCUUCAUUCCCCUCACU
This is a microRNA precursor of Lupinus angustifolius (narrow-leaved blue lupine), 92 nucleotides long. It matches the Rfam family "mir-166 microRNA precursor family". Rfam says of the family: This family represents the plant microRNA (miRNA) precursor mir-166. Animal miRNAs are transcribed as ~70nt precursors and subsequently processed by the Dicer enzyme to give a ~22nt product. NCBI's taxonomy places the organism in Eukaryota, Viridiplantae, Streptophyta, Magnoliopsida, Fabales, Fabaceae. The record is from Rfam.